UACGUAGGUGGCAAGCGUUAUCCGGAUUUACUGGGCGUAAAGGGAGCGUAGGCGGACUUUUAAGUGAGAUGUGAAAUACUCGGGCUCAACUUGGGUGCUGCAUUUCAAACUGGAAGUCUAGAGUGCAGGAGAGGAGAAUGGAAUUCCUAGUGUAGCGGUGAAAUGCGUAGAGAUUAGGAAGAACACCAGUGGCGAAGGCGAUUCUCUGGACUGUAACUGACGCUGAGGCUCGAAAGCGUGGGGAGCAAACAGGAUUAGAUA
RNAcentral lists this ribosomal RNA (261 nucleotides) under uncultured prokaryote. RNAcentral's name for it is "partial 16S ribosomal RNA". It matches the Rfam family "Bacterial small subunit ribosomal RNA", at positions 524 to 784 of the family's 1533-position model. The record is from RNAcentral.